RNAcentral lists this ribosomal RNA (851 nucleotides) under Pseudomonas aeruginosa. RNAcentral describes it as "bacterial SSU rRNA". It matches the Rfam family "Bacterial small subunit ribosomal RNA", at positions 24 to 870 of the family's 1533-position model. The record is from RNAcentral. Lineage: Bacteria; Pseudomonadati; Pseudomonadota; Gammaproteobacteria; Pseudomonadales; Pseudomonadaceae.
UCAGAUUGAACGCUGGCGGCAGGCCUAACACAUGCAAGUCGAGCGGAUGAAGGGAGCUUGCUCCUGGAUUCAGCGGCGGACGGGUGAGUAAUGCCUAGGAAUCUGCCUGGUAGUGGGGGAUAACGUCCGGAAACGGGCGCUAAUACCGCAUACGUCCUGAGGGAGAAAGUGGGGGAUCUUCGGACCUCACGCUAUCAGAUGAGCCUAGGUCGGAUUAGCUAGUUGGUGGGGUAAAGGCCUACCAAGGCGACGAUCCGUAACUGGUCUGAGAGGAUGAUCAGUCACACUGGAACUGAGACACGGUCCAGACUCCUACGGGAGGCAGCAGUGGGGAAUAUUGGACAAUGGGCGAAAGCCUGAUCCAGCCAUGCCGCGUGUGUGAAGAAGGUCUUCGGAUUGUAAAGCACUUUAAGUUGGGAGGAAGGGCAGUAAGUUAAUACCUUGCUGUUUUGACGUUACCAACAGAAUAAGCACCGGCUAACUUCGUGCCAGCAGCCGCGGUAAUACGAAGGGUGCAAGCGUUAAUCGGAAUUACUGGGCGUAAAGCGCGCGUAGGUGGUUCAGCAAGUUGGAUGUGAAAUCCCCGGGCUCAACCUGGGAACUGCAUCCAAAACUACUGAGCUAGAGUACGGUAGAGGGUGGUGGAAUUUCCUGUGUAGCGGUGAAAUGCGUAGAUAUAGGAAGGAACACCAGUGGCGAAGGCGACCACCUGGACUGAUACUGACACUGAGGUGCGAAAGCGUGGGGAGCAAACAGGAUUAGAUACCCUGGUAGUCCACGCCGUAAACGAUGUCGACUAGCCGUUGGGAUCCUUGAGAUCUUAGUGGCGCAGCUAACGCGAUAAGUCGACC